Molecule: long non-coding RNA, 1470 nt
Filed under: Pongo abelii (Sumatran orangutan)
Lineage: Eukaryota; Metazoa; Chordata; Mammalia; Primates; Hominidae
Description: lncRNA (ENSPPYG00000039755.1)
Source: RNAcentral
UGAAUGCAGACACAGCUGCUGGUGGUUUUGUGUAUACCCGUAAAGACAAGACAAGCUGAGAAGCCUUACUUUUUGGGGAAGUAAAAGAAGAUGGAAAUGGAUGUUUCAUUUGUAUGACUUUGGAGCAGUGCCGAAGGCCAAAGCCGCCUACUGGUUUGUGGUUAACCUAGAGAAGGUUGAAAAAUUAAUCCUACCUUGAAAGGGAUUUGAGGUAGGCUGGAUUCCAUCGCCACAGGACUUUAGUUAGAAUUAAAUUCCUGCUUGUGAUUUAUAUCCAUGUUUAGGCUUUUCAUAAGAUGAAACAUGCCACAGUGAACACACUUGUGUACAUAUCAAGAGAAGAAGGAAAGGCACAGGUGGAGAACAGUAAAAGGUGGGCAGAUGUCUUUGAGGAAAUGCUCAAUGUCUGAUGCUAAGUGGGAGAAGGCAGAGAACAAAGGAUGUGGCAUAAUGGUCUUACAUUAUCCAAAGACUUGAAGCUCCAUGUCUGUAAGUCAAAUGUUAUACAAAAAAAAUGCAAAUGGUGUUUCAUUGGAAUUACCAAGUACUUAGAACUUGCUGGCUUUCCCAUAGGUGGUAAAGGGGUCUGAGCUCACACUGAGUUGUGCUUACCCUGCUUGUGCAGCUCCAGGCACCUGGUGGGCACUCUCGUGGUGUUUGUGGUGAACUGAAUUGAAUCCAUUGUUGGGCUUAAGUUACUGAAAUUGGACCACCCUUUGUCAUUCUCGGCGGGAGCUACCUGGUCUGUGCUUUACUUGGCUUUUUUCCUUCCCAUCUUAGCCUCACCCCCUUGUCAACCAGAUUGAGUUGCUAUAGCUUGAUGCAGGUACCCAGUGAAGUUUCUCCAUAAAAGAUUGGGAGUCGUUGAAAUGUUUAGAUUCUUUUAGGAAAGGAAUUAUUUUCCCCCCUUUUACAGGGUAGUAACUUCUCCACAGAAGUGCCAAUAUGGCAAAAUUACACAAGAAAACAGUAUUGUAAUGAUACCAUUACAUAUGGAACAUUGAAAUGUUAGAGGAGUGCUCUUCCAAACGAAACAAAAAUGUCUCUAGGUUUAGUCAGAGCUUUCAUAAGUAAUAACCUUUCUGUAUUAAAAUCAGAUUAACCCUUUCUGUAUUGAGUGCAGUGUUUUUUACUCUUUUCUCAUGCACAUGUUAUGUUGGAGAAAAUGUUUACAAAAAUGGUUUUGUUACACUAAUGCACACCACUUAUUUAUGGUUUAUUUUAAGUGAUUUUUUAUGGGUUAUUUAGGUUUUCGUCUUAGUUGUAGCACACUUACCCUAAUUUUGCCAAUUAUUAAUUUGCUAAAUAGUAAUACAAAUGACAAACUGCAUUAAAUUUACUAAUUAUAAAAGCUGCAAAGCAGACUGGUGGCAAGUACACAGCCCUUUUUUUUGCAGUGCUAACUUGUCUACUGUGUAUUAUGAAAAUUACUGUUGUCCCCCCACCCUUUUUUCCUUAAAUAAAGUAAAA